AGCUCAAAUAGCGUAUAUUAAAGUUGUUGCAGGUAAAAAGCUCGUAGUUGGAUUUCUGUUCUGGACUGGCUGUCUGGCUCUGCUAUGUACGGCUUUGUCCAGGGCAUCACUCUGGGGAAUGUCUCUGCACUUCACUGUGUGGGGCGAGAUCCAGCACUUUUACUUUGAGAAAAUUAGAGUGUUUCAAGCAGGCGUUAGCCUUGAAUACAUUAGCAUGGAAUAACAAGGUAGGACUUUGGUCCUAUUUUGUUGGUUUCUGGGGCCGAGGUAAUGAUUAAUAGGGAUAGUUGGGGGCAUUCGUAUUUAACUGUCAGAGGUGAAAUUCUUGGAUUUGUUAAAGACGAACCGCUGCGAAAGCGUUUGCCAAGGAUGUUUUCA
RNAcentral lists this ribosomal RNA (378 nucleotides) under uncultured eukaryote. Its description in RNAcentral is "SSU rRNA". It matches the Rfam family "Eukaryotic small subunit ribosomal RNA", at positions 587 to 972 of the family's 1831-position model. The record is from RNAcentral.